UACGUAGGGGGCUAGCGUUGUCCGGAAUCAUUGGGCGUAAAGCGCGUGUAGGCGGUCCGGUAAGUCCGCUGUGAAAGUCGGGGGCUCAACCCUCGGAUGCCGGUGGAUACUGUCGGGCUUGAGUACGGAAGAGGCGAGUGGAAUUCCUGGUGUAGCGGUGAAAUGCGCAGAUAUCAGGAGGAACACCAAUUGCGAAGGCAGCUCGCUGGGACGUUACUGACGCUGAGACGCGAAACGUGGGGAGCGAACAGG
RNAcentral lists this ribosomal RNA (252 nucleotides) under uncultured bacterium. RNAcentral's name for it is "partial 16S ribosomal RNA". It matches the Rfam family "Bacterial small subunit ribosomal RNA", at positions 524 to 776 of the family's 1533-position model. The record is from RNAcentral.